RNAcentral lists this ribosomal RNA (253 nucleotides) under uncultured bacterium. RNAcentral's name for it is "partial 16S ribosomal RNA". It matches the Rfam family "Bacterial small subunit ribosomal RNA", at positions 524 to 776 of the family's 1533-position model. The record is from RNAcentral.
UACGGAGGGGGCUAGCGUUGUUCGGAAUUACUGGGCGUAAAGCGCGCGUAGGCGGCUUUGUAAGUUAGAGGUGAAAGCCCAGGGCUUAACCCUGGAAUUGCCUUUAAGACUGCAUCGCUAGAAUCGUGGAGAGGUGAGUGGAAUUCCGAGUGUAGAGGUGAAAUUCGUAGAUAUUGGGAAGAACACCAGUGGCGAAGGCGGCUCACUGGCUCGUAUCUGACGCUCAGGCGCGAUAGCGUGGGGAUCAAACAGG